RNAcentral lists this long non-coding RNA (974 nucleotides) under Homo sapiens (human). RNAcentral describes it as "HSALNT0352380". The record is from RNAcentral. Lineage: Eukaryota; Metazoa; Chordata; Mammalia; Primates; Hominidae.
CAGCCAAAUCCCUGCCUUACUGACCUCUCCCCUGGAGGAGCAGGAGCAGCGCUCAAGGCCGCCUUGGGAGGGCUGAGAGGCAGGCUCUGGACUGGGGACACAGGGAUAGCUGAGCCCCAGCUGGGGGUGGAAGCUGAGCCAGAGACAGUCACAGAGGAACAAGAUCAAGAUGCGCUUUAACUGAGAAGCCCCCAAGGCAGAGGCUGAGAAUCAGAAGACAUUUCAGCAGACAUCUACAAAUCUGAAGGACAAAACAUGGUUCAAGCAUCUGGGCACAGGCGUAGAAAUGGGGUUUCGCCAUGUUCGCCAGGCUGUUCUUGAACUCCUGACCUCAGGUGAUCCACCCGCCUCGGCCUCCCAAAAGAACAUACAUAUGAUAGUUGAGAAAGACACAUAUUCUGAUCAUGAAGAAAUAAACACAAGUUAAAUAUGACUAAGCAGAAAGAUGGAAGGACCAGGAACGGUGAUGCUAACUUGGAACCACGAUGCAGGCUCUAAUCUCCUCUACAAUCAUCCUCCCUUGUGAGAAAAAUACAUAAGAUCUAAGGCACAUGAGAUGAUACGCUUUCUGUUUGAGUUUCUCCUUUAUGUUACGCAUACUGAUAAAAUUGUUGACGCCAGUUGAUCUGAAGGUCCCAGCAAGGAGCCGACUCACAGAAGAAUGCAGUUUUCACAUUGUGAUGAUUUAAUCUUCCUUGACCUGAGCAAUUGACAACCCCAAUUCUCCAGAACCUCACCCGCCACAAUCCCCUUAAAAACCCUGGUCCAGAACCCCUCAAGCAGACAGAUUUGAAGCUUGAGGAUUCCUUCAUCUCUUUGCCCAAUGGCAUUGUGAUUAUUAAACUCUUUUUCUGCUGGAAAUUAUGAUGUCUCAGUGUAUUGGUCUAUUGCUGCUCAGUGGGCAUAUGAAUCUGGCAGUCCUGUAACAGGGACAAAAGAUAAACUACUGGCAAAACACUCGUAAAAGUCAUAAC